GAUGAACGCUGGCGGUAUGCUUAACACAUGCAAGUCGAACGGACUCUUCGGAGUUAGUGGCGGACGGGUGAGUAACGCGUGAGAAUCUGGCUUUGGGUUCGGGACAACCACUGGAAACGGUGGCUAAUACCGGAUGUGCCGAGAGGUAAAAGAGAAAUUGCCUGAAGAUGAGCUCGCGUCUGAUUAGCUAGUUGGUGAGGUAAAGGCUCACCAAGGCAGCGAUCAGUAGCUGGUCUGAGAGGAUGACCAGCCACACUGGGACUGAGACACGGCCCAGACUCCUACGGGAGGCAGCAGUGGGGAAUUUUCCGAAAUGGGCGAAAGCCUGACGGAGCAAUACCGCGUUAGGGAAGAAGGCUCUUGGGUUGUAAACCUCUUUUCUUAGGGAAGAACAAAAUGACGAUACCUAAGGAAUCAGCAUCGGCUAACUCCGUG
Molecule: ribosomal RNA, 435 nt
Filed under: uncultured bacterium
Lineage: Bacteria
Description: partial 16S ribosomal RNA
Rfam family: Bacterial small subunit ribosomal RNA
Source: RNAcentral